This 1009-nucleotide long non-coding RNA is filed under the name Setaria viridis. RNAcentral's name for it is "long non-coding RNA (SVIR_LNC008547)". Lineage: Eukaryota; Viridiplantae; Streptophyta; Magnoliopsida; Poales; Poaceae. The record is from RNAcentral.
CUCACCGAGCAGGGCAUCGUGCCCGGGAUCAAGGUCGACAAGGGCCUCGUCCCGCUCGCCGGCUCCAACGACGAGUCCUGGUGCCAGGGCCUCGACGGCCUCGCCGCCCGCGAGGCCGCCUACUACCAGCAGGGCGCCCGAUUCGCCAAGUGGCGCACCGUCGUCAGCAUCCCCAACGGGCCAUCCGAGCUCGCCGUCAAGGAGGCCGCAUGGGGGCUCGCCCGCUACGCCGCCAUCUCGCAGGUACGCCUUCUUGCUUGCUUCUAGCCAUGGAGAUAGUUCAUCCAGCUAAUUAAUAAAAGCUAACACCGAUGGAAUGGAAUCGACCGAGCAGGACAACGGACUUGUGCCGAUCGUAGAGCCGGAGAUCCUGCUGGACGGCGAGCACGGCAUCGAGCGGACCUUCGAGGUGGCGCAGAAGGUGUGGGCCGAGACCUUCUACGCCAUGGCGGAGAACAACGUCAUGUUCGAGGGCAUCCUGCUCAAGCCAUCCAUGGUGACGCCGGGCGCCGAGGCUAAGGACCGGGCCACGCCGGAGCAGGUCGCCGAGUACACCCUGAAGCUCCUCCACCGCCGCAUCCCGCCCUCCGUCCCCGGCAUCAUGUUCCUCUCCGGCGGGCAGUCGGAGGUGGAGGCGACGCAGAACCUCAACGCCAUGAACCAGGGGCCCAACCCGUGGCACGUGUCCUUCUCCUACGCGCGGGCGCUGCAGAACACCUGCCUCAAGACGUGGGGCGGCGUGCCGGAGAACGUCAAGGCGGCGCAGGACGCGCUGCUGCUGCGCGCCAAGGCCAACUCGCUGGCGCAGCUCGGCAAGUACACCUCCGACGGCGAGGCCGCCGAGGCCAAGGAGGGCAUGUUCGUCAAGAACUACAGCUACUAAUUCAUCGGCUAGCAACUCCGACGAUACAUACUGGUUACGCAAGCUAAGCACGUCUUCGCCGUGAUGAUCCAUGCAUGGUGCUCAUCGAUGCUUUGUGCGUGCCGUUAGUUACUACUGCUAGCUACU